Molecule: small RNA, 163 nt
Filed under: uncultured Porphyromonas sp.
Lineage: Bacteria; Pseudomonadati; Bacteroidota; Bacteroidia; Bacteroidales; Porphyromonadaceae
Description: Bacteroidales-1 6S-Bacteroidales RNA suggested
Rfam family: Bacteroidales-1 6S-Bacteroidales RNA suggested
Source: RNAcentral
GUCGAUUGGGAAACUCAUCGUACAUAGUUGAAAACCGAGACAACCCUCUCCUCCAAUGGCGGGCUACAACAGGCGCUUCGGUGUCUGUUCGCCUUGGGCGAUACAGUAGAUUACAAAGGGGGCGAGGUCCUCAAAUCCUGUUUUUCGGAGUUUUCACUUAAUC